UUAUUAUUAUUAUUAUUAUUAUUAUUAUUAUUAUUAUAUUAGUAUAGCAUUCAUUAUCAAUAACUGAAUAAUUUAUUGUAAAUAUGUAAUUUAUUCAGCAGAUUUUUAAAGUCAUGUGUUUUAUUGGUUAUUUUUGAUAACACCAAAUUUGUCUUGUCUUUUUCUAAUCUGAAAAAUUAUUUUGCAAUACAAUGACAUAAUUUUUCUCAUUACACUUAUUGCUGUGACCUAUUGUAUAGAUCACCACUCUUCUCAUUUCCUCUUCUUACUUCCUCAGAUAAGUAAGGGCUGAAUGCGACUAUGCUGCUUUAUGGUGUCAUUCAUUUCCACUUGAAAUGUGGAGCAGUGCAGGUGCCUCCUAUGAACUACAGCUUGUCUGCAGUGGGUUAGUGAUGAGGGGCUUUGCAAUAACUAUAAUAAAGGAUCACCUUCACUUUUGCCCGCUUCUGUUGCCAAAUGUUGGACAUUUCAAAAGUGUCGAUGGCUGCAGCCUUGUUGCAGGACCUCGUGUUAUAUUUUUGCACCAGGAGGAGCAUAUACGCAUUCAUGACCUGACAGAAAGAAAAGAAGCAAAAUAACUUUUGCAAUUAUAUGGAGGCCUGUCUUACACCUGUCAAUUAAAAACAGCAAUAAAAGGAUCACAAAGGUUUAAAAGGUCUUUUCUCCUUAAGGCUGUAUCGUGCAGUGCAAGGGCAGCCAAAUUUAUCUGCAGAGCUGACUGGAGAGGGAGGAUGGACAGGUGGAGAAGGUGCUGUGGGGCUGACUGGAGAGGGAGGAUGGACAGGUGGAGAAGGUGCUGUGGAGCUGCCUGGAGAGGGAGGAUGGACAGGUGGAGAAGGUGCUGUGGAGCUGACUGGAGAGGGAGGAUGGACAGGUGGAGAAGGUGCUGUGGGGCUGACUGGAGAGGGAGGAUGGACAGGUGGAGAAGGUGCUGUGGAGCUGCCUGGAGAGGGAGGAUGGACAGGUGGAGAAGGUGCUGUGGAGCUGACUGGAGAGGGAGGAUGGACAGGUGGAGAAGGUGCUGUGGGGCUGACUGGAGAGGGAGGAUGGACAGGUGGAGAAGGUGCUGUGGGGCUGACUGGAGAGGGAGGAUGGACAGGUGGAGAAGGUGCUGUGGGGCUGACUGGAGAGGGAGGAUGGACAUGAGAGGGAGAUUUGCAGCUGAUCAGAGUUGAGGGAUUCAGUGUAUAGGUUUUAUUUUCCAUUAAGAUUUUCCGGAGCUUGUGAGGGACUUUGGGGACAUCUUCACAGUGGGGUCUCAAAUGAUCUGUAUUAAUUUUGGGCAUUUUGACACCCCUCUCAUCUUGAAGAUCUGCACUUUUUCCCUCCAGUGCCACAAUAGUGUAAGGACCCAGGUAGUUAGCCUCCAGUUUUCCCCCUUUCCGCUGUUGGCUUCUCACGUUUUGCCUCCAUACUUUGUCCCCCACUACAAAGGGUUUGCUGGAUGGACACAACCUUUUUCUCAUUUUCUUUUGAGAGGCUUUAAUGUUUGCCUCAGCCUCACGCAAACCUUCACUAAUCCUCAACGCACACUCUGUGACUUGCUCCACAGUUACUGUGUCUUCCAUGCUUUCGUGAAUCUAAAAAAAAUUAUAUUUUUUUUAGUUUUUAUAAUAAUAUAUAUUUAUUUAAAGGGUUAGUUCGCCCUGAAUAGAAAAUUUGAUCAGAUAUUAAUAGCAUAAUUUACUUAAAUUGGGAUUAAACCACUGGAGUAACAUGGGUUGUUUUUUAUUGUGUUUAUGGACAAUUUAAAGAAUGUUUCAUGUAAACAGACUUUCAAUUUCAAAUUCUCUCAGCUUUAGUAAAAAUAUAUUUAUUCUGUUUAAACUUAAAUGAGAAUGAGUAAAUAAUGACAGAAUUUCAUUGUGAGUGGAGGUAAACUAACCCUUUAAGUAGUUAACAUUGAAUUUGUUUUGAAUUUUCAGUUACCCUGUAUUGCUCCGGAACCUCACAAGCAUAACGGGCCUCUCUCCCAAACAUUAAAAAAAAAGGUGAGAACUUUGUUGUCAUUUGCUUUUUCGUCCUAAGUCCAAACAUCACCGCAUCAAGAUGCUUAUCCCAGUCUUUUGUGCGUUCCUUCACAAGCUUGCAAAG
Long non-coding RNA from Cyprinus carpio carpio, 2094 nucleotides. The record is from Ensembl. Lineage: Eukaryota; Metazoa; Chordata; Actinopteri; Cypriniformes; Cyprinidae.